This 497-nucleotide ribosomal RNA is filed under the name uncultured bacterium. RNAcentral describes it as "partial 16S ribosomal RNA". It matches the Rfam family "Bacterial small subunit ribosomal RNA", at positions 28 to 507 of the family's 1533-position model. The record is from RNAcentral.
GAUGAACGCUGGCGGCGUGCCUAAUACAUGCAAGUCGAGCGAACAGACGAGGAGCUUGCUCCUCUGACGUUAGCGGCGGACGGGGGAGUAACACGUGGAUAACCUACCUAUAAGACUGGGAUAACUUCGGGAAACCGGAGCUAAUACCGGAUAAUAUAUUGAACCGCAUGGUUCAAUAGUGAAAGACGGUUUUGCUGUCACUUAUAGAUGGAUCCGCGCCGCAUUAGCUAGUUGGUAAGGUAACGGCUUACCAAGGCAACGAUGCGUAGCCGACCUGAGAGGGUGAUCGGCCACACUGGAACUGAGACACGGUCCAGACUCCUACGGGAGGCAGCAGUAGGGAAUCUGCCGCAAUGGGCGAAAGCUUGACGGAGCAGCGCCGCGUGAGUGAUGAAGGUCUUCGGAUCGUAAAACUCUGUUAUUAGGGAAGAACAAAUGUGUAAGUAACUAUGCACGUCUUGACGGUACCUAAUCAGAAAGCCACGGCUAACUACGUG